Long non-coding RNA from Anolis carolinensis (green anole), 270 nucleotides. RefSeq lists it as uncharacterized. The record is from RefSeq and is a predicted model, not a curated record. The transcript is spliced from 2 exons. NCBI's taxonomy places the organism in Eukaryota, Metazoa, Chordata, Lepidosauria, Squamata, Anolidae.
CACCCCCUGUGUCCUCUUUUUCUCCUUAAAAAGAUAGCUACUGAGUCUGAGACCAUGUGGAGAUCAAAUGGAGUCUCCGCUCCCAGGUGCAGUCAUAAGAGUUCAUUGCUACAAGCUUGAAGGAGGAAGGUUUGCAGCAUGACUGGCUAGAACACCGUAAGCUGCUGUGGAAACUAUCAGAUUCAGACCUCAAAGGCAAUGUUACGGUUUGUUGGUUUGUUCAUUUUUUUAUCACUGUAAUAAAGACUUUUUGAAAUGGCUGCUGCUGCA